Molecule: transfer RNA, 75 nt
Filed under: Saccharomyces cerevisiae (brewer's yeast)
Lineage: Eukaryota; Fungi; Ascomycota; Saccharomycetes; Saccharomycetales; Saccharomycetaceae
Description: E-tRNA from Saccharomyces cerevisiae (PDB 6R5Q, chain 3)
Rfam family: tRNA
About the family: Transfer RNA (tRNA) molecules are approximately 80 nucleotides in length. Their secondary structure includes four short double-helical elements and three loops (D, anti-codon, and T loops).
Source: RNAcentral
GCCCGGAUAGCUCAGCUGUAGAGCAUCAGACUUAAAAUCUGAGGGUCCAGGGUUCAAGUCCCUGUUCGGGCGCCA